Molecule: non-coding RNA, 95 nt
Filed under: uncultured Solibacillus sp.
Lineage: Bacteria; Bacillati; Bacillota; Bacilli; Caryophanales; Caryophanaceae
Description: Purine riboswitch
Rfam family: Purine riboswitch aptamer
About the family: Riboswitches are metabolite binding domains within certain messenger RNAs that serve as precision sensors for their corresponding targets. Allosteric rearrangement of mRNA structure is mediated by ligand binding, and this results in modulation of gene expression.
Source: RNAcentral
AAAAAAGAAUAGAUUUACCUUGUAUAAAUUCAAGAAGACGGCUUGAAAGUUUCUACCAGCUACCGAUAUUAGCUGACUACAAGGAAUGGGAAAUU